CACUGAACAUCUGUGGUCCCGUGUUUAAUCUGUUCUGAUUGUCUGUCUGUUUCCAUUUCAGGGGGAGCCAGGGGACCCCGGAGAGGAUGGGAUGAAGGGUGCGAAGGGCGAGGUUGGAGUACUUGGCCUGCCUGGAGAAAGGGGGAUCGAAGGCCCCAGAGGUCCCCCCGGAGCUCGGGGUGACCCUGGAGACCGAGGCCAAUCAGGAGACAAGGUAA
RNAcentral lists this long non-coding RNA (218 nucleotides) under Gopherus agassizii (Agassiz's desert tortoise). RNAcentral's name for it is "lncRNA (ENSGAGG00000022333.1)". Lineage: Eukaryota; Metazoa; Chordata; Testudines; Testudinidae. The record is from RNAcentral.